This 42268-nucleotide long non-coding RNA is filed under the name Medicago truncatula (barrel medic). RNAcentral describes it as "long non-coding RNA (MTRU_LNC005924)". The stretch from base 15507 to 15672 matches the Rfam family "MIR2619 microRNA precursor family". The record is from RNAcentral. Lineage: Eukaryota; Viridiplantae; Streptophyta; Magnoliopsida; Fabales; Fabaceae.
GAAACUCAUUAAAUGGAGAUACUAUUAGGAAUGCCUCUGCCAGUCAAUCCUUCCUCACUAGAAGGAUAAAGCAGAGUGUAUGGCAUCUUCACAGGCCCGUAUCGGUUUCUCAAUGACUCAUCAUUGUUCCUUUUGAUGAGCUUUGCCUCAAUUUCAGCCAACUUCCUUCCAAACCUCUUGAAAGCUUCUAAUGGCUGUGAAUCAAAAGUCCAAGCCUCACCUUCAUUUCUCUGUCCAAGGUAUUGCUCAUCAGAAGCAUGCCUUGACAAGACCUCUAUGAUUGUAAGGUCAGUUAGGGUAUCAUUUUUUGGUGUGAUUGUCCUCAGAUACGCCUUCUGAAAGUUCUUAGAAAGCUCGUCAUACUCAGCAGACCCUUUCUUAGGCAUGUGUCUCCGGCUCUUAGUUGGUCGGUUAAGUAUAUAUCCUCCAUAUGGGUAUUGACCAAAAUUAACAGCUGCAUGAUGUGCUGAAGCAAUCCAUAUGAGGAUAGUGCAAGCUUCAAUCAACUCUGUACAAGUUUGCAUCUUAAACCACCAUGUAGCAUUCUUCAAAUCACCAUGACCCACCUCUACAACUUCUCUCCAAAAUGCUUGCAGUUCAGAAUCUUGCGCAACAGCAACAUCUGACUUGUAGUAGAAAUUCACAUAUUCUUCAACCCAUGACUUGAUAGCAUCCCAUAUCUCUAGUCCAUCAGCAGCAUAAGGGUAGUCCUCUAUCAGAAGGCGAAUUCCAUGUGGGGAAGUUGGAUCCUCAACAGCCACUCCUCUAGAUAUAGCAUGCAAGGAAGAUAUCAUUAACAUAAAAAAUACUUUUGACAUCAAUAUCUUUUUUACCAAGAUUAUUAAAUUUCUAUUGUAGUCACAAUCCUAGCCAUUAUAGAGAAUUGCGGUAAAAUAUAGUUGAUGCCUUAUCUUAGAUCAUGGUUACUAGCAUUAUUUCAAUCCUUUUUUAACUAAUGAAUGAGUAGUAACUAAUUUUUUUUUGAAGGUUACCUUUUAAGUAGAUCAUUAGGUAGUCCUUGAUCUGGGAAAACCCAAUCCUUAUAUAAUACAGAAGACAGUUCUAUAGAAUGACUUCCCAAUAAGAAUGUUGAUUCUAUAAUACCCUCUGCAUUUACCAAGACACUCCUUGCAAGUGCAUUAAUGUUCAUUGUGUCACGAUAAUGUGGAAGCAGAAGUUUGUGAAUAGGGUGAACCACACUAAGAUGCCUAUUAGUUGCUAUGAUGAAUGGCUCAACAACAGCGUGCGUGUUCAACCUGUUACACAUGUAGAUAUUCAUGAAUCAAUCUUAGAUAUAUAAAAUUAAAUAUGUUUGAUUCUAUAAAAAUUCAUCAACAUAAUUGUACCAGUGGCUGACAAGUUGGUGAACAGAAGAGUCAUUUACAAUAACAUAAGCCUUGGCAAGGAGCCAAAUAGAAGAUUCAACACCUUCCUUUGCAGGCAAGUAAACAUCACUAACAGGACCAAAGCUAUCAGCCUGAGGAUGUGGGCUACUUAGCUCAAUGGCUAAUGGCUUCAAAGUUCCAUCAUUUUGUAAGAAAAUGAUAGUUCUAGUAGCAUAUGCCUUUGUUGUAUCAGCUGCAUUUAUUUUCCUCAGAUAUGGAUAUAUUGAGUCAUGGUGAUCAAGUAUGUAAAGCCUGUUGUUUUGGAUAGCCUAUUGAACAAAAUAUAAUUUAGUCAUUGCAAUUAUUUGAAUAAUAAAUAACCACAAAAUAACAUUGUCAAAGUUAAAUUAUAUGCAUAGUAUUAAUGUUAAACUAUGUCAUUACUUCUUCUACAGUGACCCCAUCCAUGUUUAGCUCUAACUGUUCUUCGGUUAUUGUGCUCGUAUUAUCACCAUAAUCGGUAUUUAGCUUGCUCUUUGGUGGGAACUCCUACAUUAUAUAUAACAAGUAAUACUGAAAUUAAGAUUGAAAAUAUAGUAUGUAAAGUGGACAAAAUAGAGUUUAAUUUUGUGUUUGUAAAGAAAUCGUUAAACUAUUAAGUUUACCUGAAUUCUUUUUAUAAUGUGUGGAUUCACACCAGCAAUCAUCUCCCUUGCAAAUUCUUCAUCAGUCAUCCACGCAGACUGAUUAACUGCUCAAAAUAAGAGCAUUGCAAAUGAUCUGUAAUAUUUUUAUUUAUUCUAUGAAAAUAUAUUGCUAGGACUAACUAAUAGAUACCUUGAAUCACUUUAGGCGGUGGAAACUUUAGGGCCGAUUCACCAUCAGUUCGGAAGAGUUCCUUGAAAAAUGGUAUGGGGCUAAGUUUGCUAAGUAUACUAGUAGGUAAUUUAAUCCCACCAUCAUAAAAUGAUCGCACAUCAUCAAAGCUAUUAAAUUCUGGCUUAUUGAGUUGUAAUGUAAUUGCAGAUUGUAAUUGAGGUAUGAAACUUUGAGAAGCUGAUUUGAGUAUGUAAACAAGAAAAUCUGAAGACUUCAAGUGACCAAAUGCUUCAUCUCUUGGAACGUAAACAAAGUCGUCCCGUCUCUCACUUUUAGGAUCUGUUCACAUACAAAAUUGAAGACACGCAUUAGCAAGUACUAGCAAAAAGAUCGAUAACUUUAAAGUCAUAAUAGAGAAAAUGUUUUGAUCACAGCACCAUUAAUUUAAUAUGGAACUUUAAAAUUAUAACCUUUUUUAGCUGGUUUCCUGCCGGUUCUGCCCCUUCGAGGGUAAGGCAAGGUGUCGGAUCCUCCAAUAACGGGACGAGCCAAGUGUGCGUACUUGUCAGGAUCACCCAAGUCAUUGUAAACAUCGUAGUCAUAGAUUCUAUCGUGUUCCUUGCGCUGACCCGUUCCAUCUCCUCUUAAAGUCUUCAAUUCUUCUUCUCUAUAGUAGACUAAUGGAGCUGGUGUUUCACUUGGAAGGUAUGUCUAUAUUUUUAUUUAUUUGAUGGUGUAAGAUUUCAGGAAAUAUAGUUCAUAUUUAAAGGUCUUGCUAACAAGUGCCCUAAUGUUAAGAUUAAAAUAUUGAAACCAGUUGAUAGCUUUCAUGUAGAAAAAAUUGUUUUUUGAUGUUCCAAUGUGUUAACAUUUCACUAUAUUUAACAUGCACGAUAAAUAUGGUAUAUUCAUUACCUUGUUGGCGAAGAAGAUGCGUUUCGUUUUAUACUUGUCAGCACUGUAAAUCCAUGAGUUGCAUACAAAGUUGAUGGUUCCAUGGUUUGGAAUAUCUUCAAGUGUCAAACUUACAAGGAAGAAUUCUCGUGUCAUGUUACUCUCAAUAUAAAAUGCUCCUGGAACUCCCAUGUCACUAUUCCAUUCAAAAUGAAUAUCAUAUGCAGACUGUCCUGCUCCCAAAAUUGGCAUGGAAGUAACAAAACCUUCAAUAAAUGUUUUCUCUCCGACUUUCCCUUUUCCGCUUCCUACAAAUAUGUUACAAGUUUGAUUUACAAUUUCAGCAAUGAUAAUACUCCCUCCGUCUCACAUCAGGUGUCACAUUUGAGUUUUACACAAUUAUUAAAAAAAUGAUUAAUAAUUUUGAUUUUAAUGAUAAAUAUGUAUCAUUUACUAACAUACUUUUAUUAAUUAUAAUUAGUGGAAUAUUUUUAAAUGAUUCAAAUACAAUAGAUACAGAUAUGUUAAAAGAAAAUAAUAAUAAAUAUUGUAUUAUUAGUGUUAUAAAAGGGACAAAUAAAUUAAGAAAAAAAACAUAUAAUUUAAGACGGAGGGGAAAAAACAUCUAAUUUGAAACGGGGGAGUAACAUUCAAGAUUAAUUUAUGUCAAAGUAACAAAUUACUCUUUUUGUGCCAAAAAAAUAUUAAUUCUUUCCACCUGAAUAAAGUGUUUUAUAUAGGAGUUGAUAGUUGAUUAUAUCUUUCAUGCUAUAAAUAAGUUUUUGGUCCCUUUAAAUAUCUCAAAUUUCAGUUUUUAUAGUUCAAAAUAUUUUCAGCAAAAUUUGGGUUUGCUAAAAAUAACUUAGAAGGAAAAACUUGCCAAAUUGUUUUAGAGAGACUAUAUAUAAAAUUUUAGAUAUUUAUACAGUAUCCCUAAAAAAAAAAAGAAAUUUAUACGGUAGAAUUAUUUUUUUUAACCCAUUUUGUAAUGAUAAAACAAAAGGGAAACUGAAUUGAAUCUUAUGGACUAAGGGUCAAAUAAUAGAGGAAAAAAAAAAUCAAAUUAUUGAUAAGUAUUAAUAAAAAAAUUAAACCUCACAAAGAUUAAUUUAAUGUAUCAAACUAAUAACUGAAGACUAACAUAUCAUAUGAUUUUCUAUGUAAAAUGUUACCAGAUCGAAAAUCAUAUGAUAUGUUAAUGAGGUAAAUCAAGACUAACUUCUGAUGUGUGUGUAUAAACUUCAAUUCAUUUGUAAACUUUAUUAAUGUUUACUCGUUAAAGCGUUAUUGAGCAGCGCAACACUGUCCAAAUACUAUAUGUGUUCAGUGUUGUAAAUUUAUGACGAGCAUUAUGUAGUCUUAGAAUGAGAAAUGAAUAAGUUUAUUACCAUCGGCAGUGGUAGCACUGAUCAACCUGAGAGCCACAGAACGGCCGACAAAGGCCCCGGCGGUGUCAAUUAGAGUGCCGGCGACACCACCAACAGCCUUGAUUCCAGUUUUGACCAAAUUAGUGGUGUUUUUAGUUGCACCAUUGAUGGCAUUGAUGUCGAAAACAUUUGUUUGCAUCAACACAACUGUGCCCUUCACCUUUUGGCCUCUCUUAAGCAUACUUUUGAACCCUGAAUACAUCUUAAUUUGCUGCUUAAAUUUUUUUUUUUGCAAAUUAAUGAGAGAAAAGUUUGUGGCUGGCAAGAUGCAACCAUCUCAUUAUUUAUAGGGCCAAAAUUAAGCUUCUGAUUAAGAACAAAUAAUUUUUUUUUAAUUGAUUAAUUGAUCAUUGACAUCGUGCAAAAACUAUUAGUAAUAGGCUAAUCGUGGAAUAUAAAAUAAUGAUGUAUUUUAUUAUAGAAAGAAGAUAACAAUAUGUGUUACACAAUCAUAUUAUGACAAAUGGAUUUUUGAACUAUAGUUAAUUAGAUUCUAACGCGUACACCAAUAGUAAUAGGCUAAUCGUGCAAAAAUUAUUUCCUGAUACGAGGUCGUCUUUCUUUCCAUUGUUAAUAAUAUCCCUUCUCACAACUCACAUUCACAUACCGUAACCAUGGUUCAAUUUAAUAAUAUUAAUAAUAAGAGGAUGUACAAGAGUUAAUUAAACUAUGCAAGUGCAACUCCUAUAUGAUUUUAAGAUGAACAUAACUCAACUCUUACAAAUAUGAUUUGUAAGGUGAGGGGUUUCCCACUUAUAAUAAACUCAUUUUAUCUUCAUUUAAUAUAGAACUUUUACACUGCUCAUAUAUGUUUAAGAAUGGACGACAGGAGUGUGACUCGAGUUGUAUGAAAAUAGAUGAUCAAAUAGAUUUUAUUACGACUAUAAUACAUAAUGAAGGUUGUCCCCGUGAGCAUACUCAGUUGAUAGGGACAUACAUAAUUAUAUGCAGGGGUUGGGGUUUGAACCCAGACACCCCACUCAUUCACCUUGAAAAAGGUGAAUUCUAGCCACUAGAUUAAAAAAAAAAAAAUUAAGAAUUCAUUUUCAGGUAUAGUUUUAUCAUCAAGUGUGAAACUAUUAAUAUAUGCAAUGUUAAAAUAUAAAAUAAAUUUGUUUUUAUUUUUUAUCGCAAGAUUUAUCAUUAAACUUUAUUUAGUUGUUUUGACUCAUUCCUUUUUCUAUAUUUUAGCUGUUUUAGUUGAAUGUAGUUCCGUUAGAACUAAAAUUUAAGUUUUUUUUUUUUUUUUUUUUUGGAAAGUUCCAUGAAAAAGAAAUUAGUUUUUUUUUUUUCUUUUUUUCUAGUACUGCAAACUUUAAAAAUAUAAUUUUUCUGAAUGCUUUUGUAUGAAUGAAUUUUGAGGAGUGUUAGAAACACUCUCUUUUUAACACCUACAUUGAUAUUUAAUUUACUCUUUUAUUGAAUGAAUUCAUUGAUAUUUACUAUUUUAUUGAAUAAAUUAAAUGUGUAUUAUACAUUUUAAAAUGAGUUUCACAUAAAAUGGUGGAUUCCAUAGAUUUCGUCAAAUAAAAUAGUGGAUGUUAGAAAGAAUGUUCAACUCUAUGGUCUAUUCACUAAUAUUUUCACACCCCACAAAAUAUUUCUAAUACAAAAUAUUUUGUCAAGAUUGAAUAAACUUUCAAAAAAACUUGAGCUAAAUUUUCCAGAAGAAAAAACUGUUGAUUGGAAUACACGGGGAAUUUUUUUUUGGAAUUUUAGUCACGCUUCAAAUGUGGUUAAACUGCCGAAUUUGUAAAACGUAAUACUUGGAAAAAGAUUUCCAAAAUUUUAUCCAUAGUUGCUAAAAAUCCUGAGGAAAAUUCAAUGAAUCUGCCGUUUAGUAUCAUUUCAAGAAACUUUUAAUCAAUUGUAAAAAACUUUUACUUACCAGAAAUAUUUUGUCCGAGUUAAAGUCAAAUGACAAAAAGAUAAAAUUAACAAUAGAAUUUUUUAUAGUUUGUAGGGAGGAGAUGUAUGAAUGCAGGGGUAAAGAUUAAAGUGAAUUUUUAUUUAAACUAUAGAGCAAAAGCAAAAGCCCGCGACAUGUGCAAUGAGGCUAAGGCUUUGUAGAGCAAGAGUGAUUUUUUAUUUUUUCACAAGAGUUGUUAGGGCAAUGAGGACUACCCUACUCUUCCUACCCCACAAAGUAUAUAACAUGUCUAAUUUAUUUCCAACGACUUUAAAUUAUUGAGGAAUAGGAGUUUAGUCCUUUCAUCAUUUCAGUUUUUGGGAUCGAAAAAUUGAAAAAGUCAAAAUUUGAAUUUUUUUUUUAAUGUACUAGUUUUUCUAGUCCAUACGAAGAGAUACAUAUCAUGUGAAAUUCACACAUAAGACUGUAAGAUUAUAAGUUUGAAGCGGACAAAGAUGUUCAAACUAAAAAUAUUGAUAUUAGUCAUUGAAAUAGACCAUGCAGACAAGAAAAUAUUAGUUUUUGAAAGAAAGAAAAAACAAUGUUACGAGGAACUCAAAUUUUGAGUUUUUGAUAAAUUAAAAAAUUUGAAAAAAUGGGAGUAUUUGUUAACAUUUCCCUAUAAAUGAAAACGAUAAAACCAAACAUUUUAAAAGAAUAUAGUAGUAUGAUUUUGAGGGGUAGGUAGAAUAAUUCUUCUGGAGCGAUAAUGCUAUGAGAAGAGCAACCAAUUGCAUAUACUUGGAUAUGGUUUGGAAGGAGCACAUUUUCCAACUCAUUAAUUAUUUUAGAGAGUGACUAAUUUUUUUUUUUGUUAGACAUGGUUACACGUAAGUACAAGUUUAGUUAGGGGUGCCCUACUUUCGUGUGGUGAAUUCGAUGAUUUUUGACUUUGGAUCGCGUGUUCAAUUUCAUCAUUCUUGGAGAGAAUGAGACUUUUUAUCUUGCACAACUCUCGAGUCUCCUUCUAAUUAACUUUAUAAACUUAUUUUUGAUCAUAUCUUUGGGGCUUGCAUACUUAGAAGUGUUUGUUUUGAUUUGUAGUUUUUCUUUGGGCUUCGACCAUCUUUUGUACCAAAACAAGAGAUUACUUUUUGCGUCCAAUGAGUUUCUCACGCACCAUAUUUUUUUUUUAAUACCCUUUAGAUUCUAUAAUUCAAACAGCACUUCAGCUUAUAUAAUCUGAAAACUUGUAUUUCCAAUAUUUACUUAACAUCGCUGAUUUACAAAACAUCAUUGACAUAUACUAUUAAGAAAACAUAAUUGAAAAUGACCAAAAAUUGAAACAAAAAUGUAGAGACAUAAAAACGAAUUCAAAUUCUCAUUAUAUUAAUAGAUCAUAUCUUGAAAGUACAUUUACAUUAACAUCAAAGCAUAUUACGCAAAAUUAUUAAACAUCUAAUAUUAAACAUAUGGUGCAAGAAGAUCAUGUAGGGGUAAAAAGAAUAUGAUGGAGGGGGAAGGAGGUUGGAGUAAGGUUUUUUUUUUUUUUUUUUAGGAUGAAGGAUACUUUGAUGGUCAACCUUACACCUAAACAUAUCAAAUUUACAUCCAAACAUAUGGUACAAAUUUGCAUAGUGGCACCAUCUUCGUUGAUCGCUCAUACGAUCGCUAAAAUAAAAGAGUAACCUUUUUGUAUAAAAGGUCAACGAUGGAAGCAUAUUAAUUGUGGAAGAAAACAGAAGGAGAAAAUGUGAAGAAUGAGAAUUUGUGAAGGAUUGGUGGGUAUUUACAGGAGGAACUUGUGAAGGAUGAUGCAUAGAGUGUAUAAGACCAUUGAUUACGGUCAAAAAACGUGGUAAACCUGGUUCGACCGGUCAAUGAAACUGAUAUGACCAAAGAAAAACUUGUUCAAUGAGUUAGUCUUGCUGAGCUGAUUCGAACUCUGAACUAGUUCAUAUUAGGUAAUUUGAACUCAUCCCAGGAAUGUUAUUAUAUAAUCCGAACUAAUUUAAGAUUGUGUUAAAAUUCAUACCUUAUAGGGUGAGGGAGAGUUUAAAUUAUAAAUUAUAUAAUUCAAACCAGUUCAAUACAUGUUCUUUUUGUGAUCUACAUUGCACCAACAGUUUCCUUUUAUGUUUUUUUUCUUUUUCUGUGUUCUGGUGUUGUGCCUUAUUGGCCUUUUUUUCCAAAACUGUGACACCAAUUUUUUAGGGCGAGAAUAGAAUUUGAUUGAUUCUCUUCAUUAAAUUCAAUGGAUUUCAUAAAUUUCUAAUUUUAAGGUCACACGGCUAAUACAUAUAUAACACAAAGUGUCGUCAGAGUCUUUUGGCAUUGGUGUCAUACUAAUCUUGUUUGAAUUCUCUACUCCGAUUAUUUUCUAUUACUUUGAGAAUUCAUGAAGUCAUUCAUAGACCUAUUUAACACAUAAUUGAUGCCUGUGUUUUAUAUUUACACUUUAUUAAAACUGUUGUAAAAGAAAAAAAAAACAGACAUAAUCAUAUUUUCGUUUUAUAGUUACGGUUUGCAAGCAUGAAUUCUCACCUCCGUUGAUCUCUUUAAAUUAAUUCGAAGCUUCAAUUCAAAGUGGGUAGAAGAAAUUGUAAACAGAGCAAGAGGUUUAGCUUGGAAUUCAGAAAAAAGUCUUGAAGCUUCACCCUUUCAUCAAUUCUUGAUUUUUUCUUCAAUUUGAUUAAGGGGGAUUACCACUAAAUGACUGUUUUAUCUUUAUCUAUUUUAUGAGCAUGUUGUUGCUUUAUGAAAUUUUUAGAGAUUCUUAGUUUAUGCAAUCUAUUUUAUGUGUUUCUGUCAAUCGCACUUUUGCUGCUGCGUAUUUAUCUGGUUUUGUGUUUGUGUCAGUUUCUGCAUAAUAUCUGCAUUCGUUUAGGUUUCCUUGUAGUUUCUUGUUUAAUGCAAUUACUACAUAAUUGCAUUUCUAUUUUUCAUGUUUCAUUAGUUAAUGUUAUUGCUCUUUUUAGAUUUUAUUUCUGCAUAAUACAUUCUUUAAUGAUUUCUACUUGGCUACUGGUUAGAACUAACAAUUAAAAAUAAAAGAUCUUAAAUAAGGGCAGGUCUUUAAAAAAUACCAUUAUAAUUUUCAACGUAACAUGCUUCUCUAUUUUACAUCUCUUUGUUAUAUAUAUUCAAAUUGGUGAGGUAUUUGAGAUUCUAGAGGGUGAUAAAUGCCUUCCUGAAGAACAAUUGCAAAGCUUAUAAAUGCCUUCCUGAAGAACAAUUACAUCUCCAAAUGUGGUCUUCCUGGAAACUCAGGUGGCAGACAAAUUAAAUCUUGUUCUGGUUUUGCUUGCAUGCAAUGUAAAUUUGAAUCCCUCUAAUAUCUCUUUUGUUUAGAACCUUCUCCUUAUGUCUAUGGUUUUUUUUUUUUUUUAAAUUUAUAAAGAUGAGCAUAUUUCUUAUUCAAAUUUACUAAUUUAGAGAAGGGUUCAUUGGAUUUGAAACUUGUUAUCAUACUUAUGCAUAUGUCAUCUUCAUUUAUUUGUGUGGAUUUACAGGGUUGUAUAUGGAUUUGUUAUGUUUGCAACUUAUUUUCUUUUAUUUUCAAUAGGCUACAUAUGCUUCUUGUACAGUUUCUUUGGAAACAAAUAGGUGAUGGAAAGAAAUGGGAGCUGCAGAGAAGAACCGAUCGAUGGCGGAAUUUUCAUGGAAAUAUAUGUGCUCUACCUAAUGGUCAGUGUAACAACUUGAAGGCACCAUGAUUUCUAGUCAUAGUUUAAAAUUGUUUGAUGUAAAAGGUCGAAACUAAAGCAUUAAGGUAAAAUAUAAUUCACUUUAACUGUUAUUACUUUUUGGGUAUUAACAGCAUUGCAACUGUUAUAUAAUCUUAGGAAAUCAAUAUUGUACAUUACUUUUUCAGCACUAUCAUCUUUUUAUCAUGCCAUAUCGCACUACUAGGUUUGCACAAACCUUGGGGUCAUUAAUUCAUUUUUUCCAAACUUAAACUAAUGCAUUUCAUUAUCAUAUCACAUGUAUUACACAUACAAGAGGUAAACACAUCUUAAGAACUUCUUAUUGAUGUAUAGUAAAACAUAAAAGCAAGCAAACAAACAAACAUACAUAAUAACAAGACCAUGACGAUGAGGGAAUUUGACAACUUCACACAUUUUAUUCAGAGCAAAGCAACAUACCAUCAAAUUCUUUAGAUGGAGAUACUAUUAGGAAUGCCUCUGCAAGUCAAUCCUUUCUCACUAGAAGGAUAAAGCAGAGUGUAUGGCAUAUUCACAGGCCCGUAUCGGUUUCUCAAUGACUCAUCAUUGUUCCUUUCAAUGAGCUUUACCUCAAUUUCAGCCAACUUCCUUCCAAACCUCUUGAAAGCUUCUAAUGGCUGUGAAUCUGAAGUCCAAACCUCGCCUUCAUUUCUCUGUCCAAGGUAUUGCUCAUCAGAAGCAUGCCUUGAUAAGACCUCUAAGAUCGUAAGGUCAGUGAGGGUAUCAUUUUUUGGUGUGAUUGUCCUUAGAUACACCUUUUGAAAGUUCUUAGAAAGCUCGGCAUACUCAGCAGACCCUUUCUCAGGCAUGUGUCUCCGGCUUUUAGUUGGUCGGUUAAGUAUAUAUCCUCCAUAUGGAUAUUGACCAAAAUUAACAGCUGCAUGAUGUGCUGAAGCAAUCCAUAUGAGGAUAGUGCAAGCUUCAAUCAACUCUGUACAAGUUUGCAUCUUAAACCACCAUGUAGCAUUCUUCAAAUCACCAUGACCCACCUCUACAACUUCUCUCCAAAAUGCUUGCAGUUCAGAAUCUUGCGCAACAGCAGCAUCUGACGUGUAGUAGAAACUCACAUAUUCUUCAACCCAUGACUUGAUAGCAUCCCAUAUCUCUAGUCCAUCAGCAGCAUAAGGGUAGUCCUCUAUCAGAAGGCGAAUUCCAUGUGGGGAAGUUGGAUCCUCAACAGCCACUCCUCUAGAUAACAAGCAAGGAAGAUAUCAUUAAUAUAAAAAAUUAAAAAGCUUGAGAUCAGUAUCUAUUUAACCAAGAUUUUAAAUUGGUUGUAGUAUGAUCUUAGUUAUUCUAGCGAAACGCGGUAAAAUACAGUUGAUGUGGCCUCAACCAACGGUGUUUGGACAUAAAAAAACCUUGAUUUCUCGUCUUACAUUGUGGUUACUAACAUUUUUUCCAAUCCUUUUUUUUUACUAAUUAAUUUAUGUGCAGGAUCUAAUAUUUUGUAAGGUUACCUUUUCAGUAAAUCAUUAGGAAGACCGUGCUCUAUGAAAACCCAAUCCUUAUAUAAUAGAGCAGACAAUUCUAAAGAAUAACGUCCCAUCAAGAAUGUCGAUUCUAUAAUACCCUCUGCAUUAACCAAGACAUUCCUUGCAAGUGCAUUAAUGUUCAUUGUGUCACGAUAAUGUGGAAGUAGAAGUUUGUGAAUAGGGUGAACCACACUAAGAUGCCUAUUUGUUGCUAUGAUGAAUGGCUCAACAACAGCAUGAGUGUUCAACCUGUUACACAUGUAGAUAUUAAUGAAUUACUCAUAGAUUGAUGAAAUUAAAUACGUUUGAUUCUAGAAAAACUCAUCAACAUAAUUCGUACCAGUGGCUGACAAGUUGAUGAAAACAGGAGUCAUUUACAACAACGUAAGCUUUGGCAAGUAGCCAAAUAGAAGCUUCAACACCUUCACUUGCAGGCAAGUAAACAUUACUAACAGGACCAUAACUAUCUUCUUGAGGAUGUGGCUUACUUAGCUCAAUGGCCAAUGGCUUCAAAGUUCCAUCAUUUUGUAAGAAAAUGAAGGUUCUCGUAGCAUAUGCCUUUGUAUCAGUUGAGUUUAUUUUCCUCAAAUAUGGAAAUAUUGGGUCAUGGUGAUCAAGUAUGUAAAGCCUGUUGUUUUGGAUAGCCUAUUCAAAAAAAUAUAAUUUAGUCAUUGUAAUUAUUUGAAUCAUAAAUAACCACAAAAUAACAUUGGCAAAGAUGUAUAUUCAUGGUAUUAAUGUUAAACUAUGUCAUUACUUCUUCUACAGUGACCCCAUCCAUGUUUAGCUGUAACUGUUCUUCGGUUAUUGUGCUCGUAUUAUCACCGUAGAGUUGGGUAUCUAGCUUGCUCUUUGGUGGGAACUCCUACAAUAAAUAUAGAAAGUAAUAAUGAAGUUAACAAUUAAAAAUAGGAAAAUGUUAUUUCUAGCGAAGGAAAUAUGGCUGCUCCUAAUUCUUGAAGAUUUCGUGAUGCUAUCUUUCGGGAAAUAUGGUCAAAAUAAAAAUUAAAUUUUCUGUUCGCAAAGAAAUCGUUAAACUAUCAAGUUUACCUGAAGUCUUUUGAUUAUGUGUGGAUUCACACCAGCAAUCAUCUCCCUUGCAAAUUCUCCAUCAGUCAUCCAUGCAGACUGAUUAACUGCUCAAAAUAAGAGCAUUUCAAAUGAUCCGUGAUAUUUUUAUUUAUUCUAUGAAAAUAUAUUGCUAGGACUGAACAUGUGUUUCUAAUAGAUACCUUCAACCACUUUAGGUCGUGGAAACUUUAGGGCCGAUUCACCAUCAGUUCUGAGGAGUUCCUGGAACACUGGUAUGGGGCUAAUUUUGCUAAGUGCAUUAGUAGGUAAUUCAAUUCCACCAUGAUAUAAUGAACGGACAUCUUCAAAAGUGUUAAACUCUGGCUGAUUGAAUUGUAAUGUAAGUGCAGAUCGUAAUUGAGGUAUAACAUUUUGAGAUGCUGAUUUCAGUAUAUAAACAAGAAAGUCUGAAGACUUCAAGUGGCCAAAUGAUUCAUCUCUUGGAAUGUAAACAAAGUCGCUCCGACUCUCACUUUUAUCAUCUGUAACAUACAAAUAGAAGACAUUAGCAACAAGAUCAAUAUCUUUAAAAUCAUAUAGAGGAAAUGUUUUGAUCAUAGGACCUUUAACUUAAGAUAGAGCAUAAAGUUUAUCACCUUUUUUAGCAUGUUUCCUGCCGGUUCUCCCCCUUCGAGGGUAAGGCAAGUUAUUGGAUCCUCCAACAACGGGACGAGCCAAGCUUUCUUUCUUGUCAGGAUCACCCAAGUCAUUGUAAACAUCGUAGUCAUAGAUCCUAUCCGAUUCUUUGCGCUCACCCGUUCCAUCUCCUCUUAAAGUCUUCAAUUCUUCUUGUCUGUAGUAGACUAAUGGAGCUGGUGUUUCGCUUGGAAGGUACGUCUAUAUUUAUAUUUAUUUAUCGGUGUCAAAUUUUGAGAAAUAUAAUUUGUAUUAGCAUGUUAAAGAAAUAUGAUUUUUUUUCAUUACCUUGUUCGUAAAGAAGAUGCGUUUCGUUUUAUACUUUUUAGCAUUGUAAAUCCAUGAGUUGCAAACAAAGUUGAUGGUUCCAUGGAUGGGAAUAUCUUCAAGCGUCAAACUUACAAGGAAGAAUUCUCCUAGCAUGAAAUUUUCAAUAUAAAAUGCUCCUGGAAUUCCCAUCUCACUGUCCCAUUCAAAAUGAACAUCAAAUGCAGAUUGCCCUGCUCCCAAAAUUGGUAUGGAGGUAACAAGACCUUCUAAAUAUGUUUUUUUUCCCACUUUACCUUUUCCACUUCCUACAAAUAUGUCAUAAUGCUUAAUUUAUGUCAAUAUAAACAACUUAAUCUUUUCUUAUGCUAAGUGCUAAAUUUAUGUUCACCCAAGUUGCUUAGAUUAUAUCAAAGUGAAAUAAUUCCUAAUUUCCUACAUAUAUUUUAGUAAUAGUUGAUUUAUUAUUUAAAAUAAGUUACGUCAAAGUGAUAAUCACAAAAAUAAAAAUAAAAAUUUAUAAUAAAACAAAAGGGAAAAUAAAUUGAAUCUUAAUGGACUCAGGAUCAAAUUCUUGUAAAAAUUAAAAUAUAAAGACAAUUUUCAUUUGGAUCCUUUGUAAAGCCAUUCAUUUAAAAACGAUAAACUUUGAAACUUAUAUCACCUGCAGAUUUAAAAAAUGGUGAGGCCUAGGUUGCCUUUGAAAACUCAUGGGCAAUUUACCUAAACCAAUCAAAAGUUUUCAUGUGUACUCCAUUAGAAUAAUAACAUUUAUUAUUUUAUUUUGCAAAAAUUUAGCAAGUAUUUUAUUAUUUGCAUAUUCACCCCAUCUUAAAUUAAUGAUUUUUUACAAUUUAAACCAUCACAAUAAUUAAAUUUCACCUCUAAUUCAAUCACUCUCCAAACCUCUUUUUUAGCUUGGCAAAAAUCAUUAAAAAUUAAAAUUAUCACCCCUGAGAAUCAAACCUGGAUGCUCCCACCUAUUUAAAAUGUACUCUGGAACCACUUGAUCAAUACAUUUUUUAUGAAAUAAUUUGGAAUUCAAAAUUAUGUUAUUAGUGAGCAAAUUAUUUUAUUUUUAUUUGCAGUGCCUUUAUAACCUAGCUUUAGUGAGAAAAAAAAAUCAUUUUAUGUGUGUAUAAUUAUGAAGUAGUAAAUUUUUCUUAAGAAAAAUGAAUUCAUUCAAUUGAUUUUUUAUAUUUUAAAUUUCAUUCUUUUUUAUAAAUUCAUACUUUUAUAUAGAUUCGAUGACCUACGACAAUGUUUCAUUUGUGAUCCACCGAAUUAUGAUUUAUUUUAGGUACUAUUUUUCAUUUGGAUCAGAUAAAUUGUUUAAAGGUAAUAAUUUUUUUUUUUGCAAGGUCUUAUAAGUUAUAACCUAGCUUUAGUAAAAAAAAUCAUUUUAUAUGUGUAUAUUUAUGAAAUAGUAAAUCUUUCUUAAAAAAAAUAAUUCAUUCAAUUGAUUUUUUAUAUUUUAAAUAUCAUUCUUUUAUAUAAAUUUAUAAUUUUAUAUAGAUUCGAUGAACUACAACAUUGUUUCAUUUGUGAUCAAACGAAUUAUGAUUUAUUUUAGGUACUAUCUUUCAUUUUGAUCAGAUAAAUUGUUCAAAGGUAUUAUUAUUAUUAUUUUUUUUGCAGUGUCUUAUAAGUUAUAACCCAGCUUUAGUAUAAAAAAAAUAAAUCAUUUUAUAUGUGUAUAUUUAUGAAAUAGUAAAUAUUUCUUAAAAAAAAAAAAAUGAAUUCAUUCAAUUGAUUUUUUUUAUAUUUUAAAUAUCAUCCUUUUAUAUAAAUUCAUACUUUUAUAUAGAUUCGAUGACUGAUGGGAUAAAACCGCAAGUGCACGAUUCUACCAGAAUUCAGGGCAUUACAAACGCAACAUGUGGCAUAAAAACAUUACUUUAUAUGUAUAUACUAUUGAUUUUCCUGUUCAUUUAAAAUAUUUUAUUUGCUUAAUUGCACUUUUGGACCCCUAUCUUUUCAAAAGUUGCGGUUAUGGAUCCCUAACUAAUUUAAAUACAAAACAGUCCCCUAUGUUUUGAUUCUUUAGCAGUUUUGGACCCCCAAGGCAAAAAAAAAAAAAUUUGACAAGUGGCACCUCACUUAGGGUGCCACGUCAGCGUUGACCGAGUCAACAAUGAAUUGGGGUCCAAAAUUGGCAAAAAAUCAGAACAUAGGGGGCUGUUUUGUAUUUAAAUUAGUUAGGGGUCCAUAAUCGCAACUUUUGAAAAGAUAGGGGUCCAAAAGUGCAAUUAAGCCUAUUUUAUUUACUAUUUUAUCCUUUAAUAAUAUUAUAUUAAAUUUGAAUUAGAAAAAUGAAAUCUCAUUAAAAUAGGAAAUAUACCACUACAACAGGAACAAUACUAUAUAUACUUUUUUUUUUUUUUUUUACAAAAUACUAUAUAUACUAUAUAUGAAGGGAAUAGAGACUUUGGGCUGAAUUUUUUAUAAUUUCAAUUAUACCCUUUAAACAAAUUUUCCUAUAUUAAUGUUCCAUUCUUGGUGGUAUUAAAAAAAGAUAAGAAUUUAUAUUAUAUUUGUUAAACUACUGUGUUGUUGUGGUAAAAGAUAAACAUGAUUUUUUUGGGUUUGUUACAAUUUUAAUUUCACAAAUAUUUGUACUUAUAAUUUUAAUCAAAAUCAAAAUUUCAUAUAAAAUACCGUUCAUAAUUUACACAUGUCACGUGCCCGUUUUUUCGCUAGUUAUAUAUAGUAUUUAUACUAUAUAUAAAGAAAACUAUCUCUUUCAGCACUUUUGGACAGGAUUUUUCUUUCCAAAAAUACCCUUAAUUUUUAAUACAAACAACACAUGUAACAAAUAAAUAAGAAUAAAUUUAAAUAUUAAAACAAAUGUAACAAACACGAUAUGUGUGUUUGGUUUUUUUCCUUUAUCAUUUAAAAAGUGUAACAAACUAUAUGAGUAUAUUUAAUAUUUGCUUUUUUUAUUAUCCCAAUUAUACCAUUAAAACAAAAUCCAUAAUCAUCAAUCAACAACAAGAAGAUCCAACAUUUUAAAAAAUAAAUAGAUAAAUUUAAAGGAAUUUUUUUAAGAUUCUUAUGUUGUUACAUAAUAUUUGGACAAGAUUCUAAUUCUCAUUAAUCUUUUCUCCCACGUCAAGAAUAUCUCUUUGCUUCUUCUGAUUCAUAUUCAUUCAUUCCUUAUUAUUCUAAUUUUUAACUCAAUUCAUCUUCCUAUAGAUUUGCAUCGUUUUUGCUGAACCAAGAAGGACUGUUAAGUAGAAGAAUUCCAGAAUCAUAGAUGUAAUCACAAUAGUUCUCAAUGACAAUGCUUAAAAAAAAUUGAUUUUUUUCCCAAUCUAUCUCUCUCAAUCCCGAUCUACUCUCUAUCCCCUUAAACCCUUUUUUCCUAAACUAUUCCUUACCUCUCAUGCUCUCUCUUCUCCAUCGGAUACCAUUUCCCCUUCUAUCAUCUUCAUUGCAUUCUCCUCUUUCUCUUUCAUUUUUGACUUCUCAAUAAAAAAUCAAUCGCAGCUUCAAUUUUUUAUUGUCGAAUUCGAAUUCGAAUUUGGGGUGCGUGGGUUCGAUUGAGAGAGAUAGGGAUCGAGAUGAUGGAUAUAUAGACAACGGUGUUGAUGGUGGUUUUGAAAAAGAGGUUUUGAUGGUGGUUAUCUGGAUUUUCUCUGGAUUUUUUUUUAUGAAGGUGAUGAAUGAGGGAAAGAAAGAAGAUGAAGUAUGGGAUAUAAUGCUAGAUGUUGUUGGUUCACAGUAAGAUACAGUGGACAUGCAUGAUCUAACAAUCUUUCUUUAUUAAAAAAGAUCAAACGGUUUAUAUUAAAAAAAAUAAUAGGAUCUAUAGUGGACCAGGGGGUUCACCAUAGAUAUUUGAGGUUAAAGUUAAUUUAUUUGCAAACUGUGGGAAAAGUGAAGGACUAAAACGUGAGUUUUAUUAAUUGUGAGACCAAAAUAAAACCAAAGAAUUAAAUAAGCCUUUUUUUUUACUAAAGCUAAGUUAUAACUUAUAAGACAUUGCAAAAAAAAAAAAUUAAUACCUUUAAACAAUUUAUCUGAUCCAAAUGAAAAAUAUUAUCUAAAAUAAAUCAUAAUUUGGUUGAUCACAAAUGAAACAUUGUUGUAGUUCAUCGAAUCUAUAUAAAAGUAUGAAUUUAUAUAAAAGAAAGAUAUUUACAAUAUAAAAAAUCAAUUGAAUGAAUUUAUUAUUAUUUUUUAAGAAAGAUUUACUAUUUCAUAAAUAUACACACAUAAAAUGAUUAUUAUUAUUUUUACUAAAGUUAAAUUAUAAGUCACUGCAAAAAAAAAAAUAAAAAAAAUUGCUCACUAAUAACAUAUUUUUGCAUUCCAAUUUAAUUCAUAAAAAAUGUAUUGGUCAAGUGGUUUGGGAAAACAUUUCAAAUAAGUGGGUGCAUUUAAGUUCGAUUCCCACGAGUGAUAAUUUUAAUUUUUAAUGAUUUUUGCCAAAUUGUUCAACUAAAUUUGAAUGAAUGCAUGAUCUUUGGCAUUAAAUUCCAAAUUUGAUAAAAAAAAAAGAGAGUGAUUGGAUUAGAGGAGAAAUUUAAUUAUUGUGAUGGUUUAAAUUGUAAAAAAUCAUUAAUUUAAGAUGGGGUGAAUAUGCAAAUAAUAAAAUACAUGCUAAAUUUGUGCAAAAUAAAAUAAUAAAUAUUAUUAUUCUAAUGGAGUACAAAUGGAAAAUUUUGAUUGGUUUGGGUAAAUUGUCCAUGAGUUUUUAAAGGUAAUUUAGAAAAAACCUUAAAAAAUUGGUCUGUUACUUGUUUAGCGUACAAUUUAGCGACCGAUUUCAAAGUUUGGUAAAAUGCAAAGUUCACUAAAAUUGUGAAAAUGCUACCACGUUUUUUUCCCCCUCAUCUCAAUUAUCUACUGAUGUGAAAUGUUAUAUGUUAUUAGGAAUUCUCUCAGGUACUUAUGGGUCUGUUUGGUUAACCCCAAAAAAGAGCUUUUAGCUUCUAGCUUAUAGCUUAUAAGCUCGUUUGAUAAAAAAAACUCUGUUUGGUAACACUUUUUUACCAUGAGCUUAUAGCUUAUUUCACGAGCUUAUAAGCUAUUUUUCAGAAGCUAUUCCAAGUAGCGUUUGAGCUUAUAGCUUAUAGCUUCUCACUUUUUCUUCCAAUUUUACCCUUAUUAUUUCAUUUAAAUUGUAUUUUUAUCCAUUAUAAUUUUUAUAAUAAGCUACGUAAUAAAGACUACUAUCCCUUUAUUCCAAUUUUUGUAUAUAUAUCAGCUGGCCUUUUUUUUUUUUUUUGAAAAAAUAUAUACCUUCGUUUUUUUUUUACGAAACAAAAUAUUAUUAUUCUAUUAGUGUUACUUUUUUUUUUUUUUUGAGAUAAGUGUUAUUUUCUUUAUUCUCUGUUAUUAUUAUUACUCUAUUAGUGCUACUUUUUUUUUUUGUUUUUGAGGUAAAUGUUAUUUUUUUUAUAAAGUGGAAACACUUAAAUGAUAAUAAAUAUAAGAUAAAAUUUUAGUGAAUAAAAUUUAAUUUAAUUUAUAAUACAUAGGAUAUAUUAAAUUAAUAAAUUUAAAGUAUUUUUUUAAAGAAAAAUUAGUUUACAAAAUUACAAAUACUUAAAUUAAUGAUAUAAUUUUUAUUAUGAAUUAAGAAUACCCUUUAUGUCAUUUUACAUUUAUCAGCUAGUUGAACCGCUAUUUUUACCAAACACUUCAGUUAGCUUAUCAGCUAUAAGCUAUCAGCUAGCUUAUCAGCUAAAAGCUAUCAGCUAACUUAUCAAUUAUCCGCUAUUUUUACUAAACAGAGCCUAUGUCCACCGAUGUGAAAGGCAAACCAAAGUUUACUAAAAUUUCAAAAUUGUCACUGUGUGCAUCUUUCCCAUUAGGUAUUUUCUGUGCCGAUGUGAAAACCCCUGUUGUAAGAUGUAUAUUUUCUAGUAGUGGUUAUGCCAGCUUGUAGCCUUAGAUCUCUCCAAGGAAGAAAAAAGCUACUAAAAAAACUUGAAUUAGUAAGAAGAACUUUAGAGGAAAAAAAUCUCCCUAAAUUUAGUGACCAAAGUAUAGGGAAAAAAAAUAUUUUUCCAUCACUAAUUUUCGUCCCAAUUUUAUUUGUUUUAUUUUUAUAGUGAAAAUUCUACCUCAUAUAUUAACAAAAGAAUAAAGUUUAAAGGAUCAUCAAAUCAUCAGCACAUUAUAUCUUCACCUAAAAUCAUAAGACACUUACUAUAUGAAUCACUUUUUAUAUGGCAUUUGUUAAGAUAGACUCAUUUAAUUUUUAGAAGUACUACUUUAACAAGUUAAAACUAAAAUAAUAUAUAAAACAAGGGUUUAAGUUAGCAACUUUUGCAGGCAUUUGUUAGAAUAUAUUCACUCAUUUUUUUAAGGGACAUCCACUCAUUUUUUUUUUAGAAGGACUAUAUGUUAGAAGUGAUAAUGAAAAAUUUGUUAAUUAUACACACAGUAAGGUGCAUGUUGCUAAAAUACUCCAAAAAGCUUCCCCCAAACACAUAUUUCAAGGUGCAAAGUUCAAAUUCUUUUAGGAGAGUUGUAAAAUGAUCAUUAGUGUCGAGUAGUAGUAUGAAAGAUUAAGAAGUAAUUACCAUCAACAUUGGUAGCACUAAUCAACCUGAGAGCCACUGAACGGCCAAAGGAGGAAGUGUAGGUAUCAAUUAUAGAGCUAGUGAUAUCACCAACAACAUUGAAUCCACCUUUGAUUAAACCAGUGGCACUUUGAGCUGCAGUGAUUUCGUUGAUAUCCAAUACAUUCUUAUGCAUCAAUAUCACUGUCCCCUUCACCUUUUGGCCUCUGUUAAAGAUACUUUUCACCCCUGAAUACAUCUUAGUAAUUUACUGCUUUUAAUUUUGUAUUCUUUUGCAAAUUAAUGAAAGAAAAGUUUGUGGUUUGCAUGUUGCAACCAUCUCAUUAUUUAUAGGGCCAAAUUAAUGUUCUGAUUCAAAACUAUAUUAUUUUUUUAGAGACUGAUUCAAAUCAUAUGAGUCAAUGUUCUUUCCAUAUUUUAUCCUCAUCCAAAAUAAUUGAUCUACUUGUAAAAAAAAAACAUUUACCAAAAUAAUUUAUCUUUUUCAAUUUGCAUGCAACAUUAACGACUUCUUUUCUACUGUACAAUGGAAUUAAUAUCAUCAAUUUCAACUCAAUAUCUUCAAUUUUUUAUAUAUAUGGUAAAAGUUAAUACAUGAUAAAAGUACUUCAUUAAAAGCAAUCUUCUCUUUACUUUUAACAUAGGUGCAGUUUUUUUUUUUGAAUGAACAUAGGUGCAGUGUUAAAAAAAAAUGGAGUAUUCCUUAAACGAAUUAGUUGUCUUUUUUUAUGUGACUAAAAUGAAGUCGUCUUUGUUUAAACAUACUCUUCUCACAGAAGAUAACCAUGGUUCAGUGCAAUAAUAAUAAUAAUAAUAAUAAUAUUAGCAAGAGGACGUUGAGGACUAUAAUUUGAGAGGUAGGUAGGCGAAUUUACCGGGGCAAUAAUGCAAUGAGAAGAGCACCCAAUUGCAGUGCUUGGCCCCAAAGAUGUUCAAAACUAGACUAUUAGUGUGUGAAGAGAAAAACAAAAGAAGAAAAACAUGAUUUCUCAGUAUGUCCAGUUAUAUUCAAAUUUGUUAUAAUACAAUGUCAAUUGUUGAUUGAAACUAGAGAUUAGUUCAGGUAGCAGAUGAUGUCCUCGAUUAUGAUUCUCUUUCUUUGCACGAUUGACGUUGAGGAAAGAAUUUUCUCCCUCAGCUACGGGUUCCUGAAAUUAUUUAGUAAAAUGUUAAAUAGAGUUGUGUUUUUGGCCAAGAAGUGUAUGUAAACUAAGAUAAAGAGAUAAUGAUAAAUGGAUAAAUUAGCGAAAAAAAUAGCUUGUGUUUGAUUGUGUGUUGACUGUUAACUCGGUCUAAAGUCUUCAAGGUUGAUGUACUAGCCAAUAGACUCGAGAAAGAAUCGACCAACCCUCUUUCGGCUAAAAUAACACUUGCAUAACCUUCUAUCGGCUCGGAAAAUUCUCCCAACCAAAUGUCAUUUUGUGUUGCGUUAUCACUUGAAUUUCGAGUGAUGAGAUGACGCAACGUAAUUGAAAUGGUUACGAACAAUAUCAUCAUUACGUCAUAAAAGUAGAAAAGUAGUCGUUGGGAUGAAUCAAUUUGAGAUCUUUUGUGUAAAAGUAUUUCAUUACUCUCAUUUUUUUUUGGGUAUAAUUACUCUCAUUUUAACGUCUUCUACUUAUAUAUAUGAUUAAAUUUUGAUACAUUAAUAUGAGAAGAGUACUUUAUUAAAAAUAAUUUUAUCUCUCUUUCAUUUAUACAUUGUUCUUCAUCCAUGUGAAUUAGUUAACUAAAUCGGUUAUUUAUGAGGGAGAGAGUAUUUUUCUUUUGAACUAUAAUAUUUAUUUUGUGUAAACCUUCUGAUUUUGGGAAAAUAAACCGCUUUUUUUUUUUUAAAUAAAACUCUAAACUCCAGUUUUCAGUACGUAGGUAAGUUUGAAAUCAUCAAUUGAUCAUUGACAUGCAAAAACUAUUAGCAUGAGGCUAAGCGUGGCAGAUAAAAUAACAAUGAAUUUGUUUAAAAAACAGUAAUAAAGUACUGAAGGUAAAAUACUUUAUCAUAAAAAAAUAUAAUAAUAAUAUAUGUUGAUUGAUCAUAUUUUGACAAAUAGAUCUAUUGAGCUAUUGUUAAUUACAUUCUUACGUGUAUACAAAUAAAAAUAUUCCCUGUACGAGGUUGUCUUUUUUGUUUUUGAUUUUGAUGGUACGAGGUCGUCUUUCUUUCUUUUGUUUAAACAUACUACUUUUCUCACAUAAGGUAACCAUGGUUCAAUGUAAUAAUAUCAAUAAUUGUACAAGAGUUAAUUUAACCGUGCGAUUAUUGCACAUUACGAUGCUCUCCAUUUUCAAUUGUCACUAUUUACUUGUUAACAAAAUUAAAAAUAGUAGAAGUAGGACUAUACUAGAUUCAAUAAUAUUUUAACUUUUAAAAAAUUAAAUUCAUUAGUUUUGACCGUUUCCUAAUACAAUAUAUUGAUAAAUCCUUAAUCAAUGUCUUAAAUACACUUUUUAGUAUUUUUCUUAAAUUAAAUAGUAGGUCAUAUCAGAUUUUUAAAAUGUCACAUUCAAACCUAAAUAAUAAACCUACGACACGCCACAUGCUAGACAUUGAUCUUAAAAAUUUUGGUAGAUUAGACUUAGAUUUUGCAAAAUUUAGUUCGGCCUAACCUAUUAUAUUUUGAAGAUUGCUCUAAUCCAUGUCCUAAUUAUUCAUCCCAUUAAUUCAGCUGUUCAAUAUUUUUCAACGGCAAUUACUGCUACGGGCAUUUUUAAGACCAGUUCAUUUACUUUUUAAAUUGUUUUAAUAGCAAUUUUCAUUAUUAUAUGUACCCCAUAUACGCUUCCCAUGACGUCCAACGCUGACAGCAGCAUGCAAGUGCACUUCACGUGAUCUUGUUCCUUAUUGCAUAGUUAGUUUUUUAUUUUCUAAUUUUACUAUACCGAACUCUAACAUUUUCACACUCAAAGUUCUUGCCCUGUCUCCCGUUUUUUUCUUUUCUUUUUUUAACAAAAACAACUUAUAUAUUUUCAUUCAUCAAAUCAAAUUGAAAGUAAUACAAGAUGGAAUUAAAUAAAAGAUAUGAUGCCGAAUAUACAUAGAUGUGAUAUAAGAUAGAAUAACGAGCAUAUAAUUAUAACACUUAAUAAUAUAUGAGUGACAUAAUUUGUUUGUGUUCAAGCUAAACUCAUCUUAAAGUUUUGAAACUGUUCUACUAAUAAUUUAACUGUGCGAUUGCGCAUUACGAUGCCCUCCAUUUUCAAUUGUGACUAUUUCCUUCAUCGCUCAUAUGAAUUAGCUGUUAAAAGGUAGGUCGUAUCAGACUUUCAAAAUGUCAUAUUUAAACCUAAAAAAUAAAUUUAUGAUAGACCGCAUGCUAGAUACAGGCCUUAAAUUUUUUAACAGAUUAUCCUUAAGUCUUGCAAAAUUUAGUUCGACCUGCCUAUUUCAAAAAUUGCUCAAAUCUAUUUCAUAAUUGUUCAUUCGCUUAAUUCAUUGGAAGUUAACUGUUGCUCGAUAUUUUUCAGCGGCAGUUCAGAUCGGUUUAUUCAUUUUUUAAGUUGAUGUAAAUAGAAAUAUGUACCCCAUAUUCGCUUCCCAUGACGUCCAAUGCUGAUAGAAGCAGCAUGCAAGUGCAAGUGUAUUAUAUUACCGUAUAGUCGCUUGAAAUGAAACCACACACUUCACGUGAUCUUAUUCUUUAUUGCAUUCGUUUUUUCUUCACUAAUUUUACUAUCCCAAAACUCUAACCUUUUCACACUCAAAGUUCUUGCCCUCUCUCCCUCUUUUUUGUUUGACCAAAAGCAACUUAUAUUUUUUCAUUCAUCAAAUCAAAUUGAAAGUAAUAUAAGAUAAAAUUAAAUAAAAGAUAUGAUAACAAGCAUACGAUUUUAACACCCUUAAUAAUAUAUGAGUGACAUAAUUUGUUUGUGUUCUUGCCAAAUUUAUCUUAAAGUUUGGAAAUUGUUCUACUUAUAUCUACAAUUGGACAAAAUACCGUCAAACUUCGAUUGAUUGCUAGAAUUAUCCAUGAUGUCUUCUGCCACUAACUUACAAUCUAGUUCAAUUUUCACGGUUGAUAAUCCUAAUUCUCGAACAUUCAUAGUGAUAUGUCCGGUGAAGAUGAGAUAAAUAUGGGGGUGGUUCUCUCCGGGAACUGCAUUUGUUCUCCGGAAAUUUUUCUUUAAGUUGUAAAUAGAUCAUUUAAGUUGUAUAUUUAUCGCACUCUUAUCCUUUUAAAGAUUUGUUUGAAACUUAAAAACUUAAAAAACUUCAUAUAGGUGUAUUAAAUUAACAAUUUAAAAGAUCUAUUUGAAUUUUUUAAAAAAAAAAAAACAAAAAAACUUAAAGGACAUAUUUAAACCUUAAAAAACUUAACUGAUCAACCUAAUAUUUUUGUCAAACUCAUAAAAAAGCGUUCAUGGCAUACGGUGUUUUCCUUCCAUAAAAAUAAAAAAUAAAAAAUAUCUGAAUGUAUUUUUGUUUUACAAAACUCACAUGGCAUGUUGUAGGAGAUUUGAGAUGUGUGUGGGGGUGGGUGUAAAAUUCCAUAAACCUGAUAAAUCAAAAUUGUUAAAAGUGAGAGUAAAUUGGAAUGGAAAAUUUAAAAAUUGUGGAAGUGGGGAACCACGUAAAAAUAAACUUUUCCAACUUAAACCAUAUGAUAAUUUCUUAAUCUGUCCUCUCAUGUUAUCAGCAGUACGCUUUUAAUAGUGUUUUAUAUUUGAAAUAUACUGCCAGAAAUACAUUUAUGAUAAUAUAAAUUGAUAGAUUUAAGCAAUAUAAGAAGAUUCAUAAAUUAUCAAAACAUGCGCAAUGCUAAAGCCCACAACAUGCAGAUGCACAAAGGAGGAUUCGAUUUGUAGUGCAAAGUUGUUGGGGCAAUGAAAAUCGGAUUUAAUUUGUAUGUAUAGAUAGUAUAAAACUUGUUUACACAUGUAUCAAAUCAAAUUACGCCAUUAAAAUAUUUAUGGAGAUAUUUAAACAAUUCACUUAUAAAAACGACACUUUAUUCUAAUUUGAUUGGAUGGAUAUAUAAAAAGAAAUUACACUACUUGUUCAGAAAAAAAAAAAGAAAUUACACUAUCGGUGCAUAGAAAUGACACUCAUGAAAAUUACCCUUCCUACCAAACAGUAUAUAAAGUCUCUAUAUUAUUGCCAACAACCAUAAAUUAUUGAGGAGGUAGAGGUUAGCCAUUUUAGCACGUUUGUGUUAUUGAGAUAACAAAAUUGAAAAAAGUCAAAAAUUGAGUUAUUUAAAAUGUAGUAGAUUUUGAAAGAAAGAAAAAAAGUUCCAAUGAACUCAAAUUUUUGAGUUUUUGAGAUAACCAAUUAAAAUUGUUCUUGGGACGUAAAACACGCUGAGUAUUAGGGGUGUUCAAAUCCAUACCAAUCCAAAAUAAAACCGCAAACUGAUCCAAAAAAACCGAAAACCGCAAAAAACCAAAUAUUUUUGGAUGUGUUUGGAUGUUGUUUUGGAAAAACCGCUAUGAUCGGAUCGGAUUUCGGAUUGCGUUUUCAAAACCAAACCGAACCGCAAAAGUAAAUUUUUAUACUUAUUUAUUAUUUUAUUAGUAUUAUAUAUUGCACUAAUAUAUUGCUUAUUGAUAUUUAAUCUUAUAUAUUGCAUUAAUUUAAUCUAUAUUAUUACUACUUCAUCUAUUUCAAAUAUAAUCAAUCAUUUUUAUUGUGUAAUGUUAACUUUUUAAAUAAAUUUGUGUCAUAUUUUGUAUCAAACCUAUUAUUUUAUUGUGUAUGAGUAAUAUUAAUAUUUAAAAAAAAAAUUACAUGUUACACUUUGGAUAUCCAAAAACCGAUCCAAAUUAAACCGCAUAUAUUUGGAUCGGAUCGGUUCGGAUUUUUUUAACAUAAUCAUCCAAACCGAACCGAACCGCACGUGAUUUUUAUUUUGGAUCGGUUGAUUUUUAACCUCAAAACCGAUCCAAACCGGACCGCGAACACCCCUACUGAGUAUGUAAGCUUAAUAUUGUUUUUCUUUUACAAAAAGUAAAUUUAAGGGGGUGUUUCUAUCAAGUAUAAUAUUUACAUUUAUGGGAAUACAUAGGUACGGAAUGAGUAUAUCCAUAUUUUUUAUAAGAUUGAGAAAUCAUUAUUCUUAGGUAUCUAAGGUUCUUAGGAAUGAAAUAACUUUUCUUAACUUUAAACAAUCUUACGAAAUUAUUCCCAAGGUAAAGGAUGGAAAAGUAGGUUCCCAUCAAAUUUUGUACACUUUUUUUCUAAAAGAAUAUAACUUGCAAUUCCCCUAGGAGUGUUCAAGAGUGUGCCAAACAUUUUUUUUUUUUUUUAAAUACCCAUGAAUAGAACUCCCGUCAUGAUAUCUUUAACUGUGAUUCCCUUUCUUCAAGCGAUUAAUGGUGAGGAUGGAACUUUGUUUUUAGGUUUUUUUUGCUACUAGACUAGUUGGAAAUGCAUGUAAAAUAACAACGGCAGAAAAAUAAAAGUGAUAAAAUAGGGAAAAUAGUUUGUGAUUGAUUGAUUAUGUGUUAAAUACAUUGUAUAGAGUAUGUACUUAUAGGCAAAACUAUUUCUACUGGCCACAAGAUAUUACCUACAGUGUUUAACCUUGUUCGACUAUUUUCACGAGUAAGCAUCAGCUUUCCCACGCUCGACUGUCAGCUUCCCAAUUAAUGGCAUGACAUGUUGACAAGGUCCAUAAUGUUUAGUACCUCAUUGUCCAGAUCUGCUUGAGCUUUGACUCAAUAUGAUGUCUUCAAGACAAUCGACCUACCCUUGUUUGGCUAGAAUAACACUUGCAUAGAUUUCCAUCGCUUGUCUAUUGAUUUCAGCUAACAUGACAUAUAUAAUUACUUUUAGGUGUAAACAUAUGCUUCCUUGCGUUGCAUUUUCGAUUGGCUUCCAAGUGAUUGGGAUGAUGCAACAUAAUCGAACUGAUUGCGCGUGAACAAUGCGAUCUUUUAUGAAUGGAUAUGAACUAAUAACCCUGUCAAUCCAAUAACUCCAACGGUUACCGCAGUUUUCUCAAUUGGUAUGGUGAUAUCUUCGCCUAUUUGAAAGACGAUCUUUACGUAUAAAUAACUUUUUAUAGACCUGGAUUAUUCCCCAACUUUUCACCCUUUGUCGUUCUUUUUAUGUGGCUUCCUAUCCACUAAAUAAUUCAUGACUAUUACUUUUUCUACCCUGCUGCCUUCUCGCGCGCCCUGCAAAAUUUACUAAAAUACCCCUGGUCCGGAUUACAUAAUCCGGAGCAAAUUGUUAGUGAUAUCCGAAAAACGAAAUUCGGACCAGAUGUUAUGCGUUUUUUUGUGUCUUUCUUUGAUGUCAAGGGUUUCUGUUGACCGUUAUAUGAACCCCACACAAGUUGCAAUGUUAUUCCAGGGUUCAUACGAACAGUCAAUAAUGACCAUGACACCACUAACACCCCAAAAAAACUAAAAACAUUUGAAGAAAAUGGAAGAAAAGAGGUGAAAUGAAGAAUGAAGGUAUUUGUUGAAGAUGGAAGCAUGUUUAUAGCCUAAAACAAGUCCUAGGUCAUUAGUACAGUAAAUGAAAACGUGUUAGUGGUUGUAACCGUCCAAACCCACAUUAAUGGCUCUCUUUCAAAAGAAUCCAAUGCUGAAGCUUUCAAGAUUUUACAUUCCGGAAUAACCUUAGCCCUACAGAAAGUGCCAACUUUUCCCUUGUUCACCAUUAUCGCAUUAAUCCGGAAAAUAUAUUCCGGAAAACAAAGGUGCAUUUCAGAUUUUAUUUUCUGGAAUGCAACAAUGUCAUGGCCAGUGGUCUGCACCACACAUUUUUGUCGAUGGUCAGGUAAUAAAAAACGUGUUUUAUCACGUUUUUUGACUGCAUUUAUGGUCUCCCAACCGUUUUUGCCCCUCCCUAUAAAUAACCUUCCAAACCCCACAAUUUCUCACACCAUCCUCUCUCACCCUCUCCUCCUCUUCUUCCUUCUAAAACCAUCGUUUUUCAUCGUUGGCCUUUCAUAGAUAAGGGUCUCGUUGAAAACUUUCAAGGUUUGUAUGAACGGUCAAUGUGGAUGGAACAGUGCUGCAACGAAGUGCGGUUCAUCUGAGGGUCAUGUGGGUCAGUGUGGUUCUUAGCUUGGCCUAUCUGGGCGUAAGUUUCAGCACCCCCACCUCCCUCAGGGACAUUGUUUUCUUCUUCCUGCCUUCCUCUUCCCUCCUCCUCCUCCGGUUUUCCUCCAUUAGGGAACCUACUGCUAUGUCCUAUCGCAUAGUAGUGAUUAGGAUCUUAGGAGAUUAGAAUUAGGCUCUUAGGAUAUUAGAAAUAGAUUUAGGAUCUUAUAUAAUAAGCUUAAAAAGCUUGAAAAUUAUUGUAAUGUAUAGUUCAUAUAUUAAUAAAAUGAGUUAUUUUUAUGUUUGUGUCCUUUUAUUUCUGUUUUUUAUUUUAUUUUACGAAUUGUAAAGCUUAAAAUUGCAAAAGUUAUGGUAAAAUAUUAUUCCGGAUUUUCAAAUCCGAUUUAAAAAUACAUUCCGGAAAACGAAAUUCGGACCAAGGGUAAAAUUGAAAAAAAAAAAAAAAAAGGGUGUGCAAGGAAAGAUAUAGGGUGGAAUAGGUAAAACUCACAAUUCAUUUUGGUGCGUCCUUCAACCCUCAAACCCAAUAGUCAGAGAGCUUUGCCAAUGAUUAUUCUCUAGUUUUACACCCGAUAAUUUUCUUAAUCUUGUCAUUUUCAAGAUAAAAGACCACUAAUUCAGAAAACGAGAAUGAGAAGGGAAGUGGCAAACGAACUUUGACUCGUAAAGGCAAAUUAAAGCAUGACAAUGUCUAGAUAGGGGAAACUUAAAUUCCUAACAUUUCAUGGGAAGGUAAUAAUUGUCUCAAUCGAUUUCCAGAACUAACACUUCCUUCAUUUACUAAGUAAUUUCUUAUCCUUGUUUUUAAGAGUCUUUGUGCAAUUUUAUUUAAGGAUUUUUAGAAAAUUCUAAGGAGGUGCUGAUAGUUUAGUGAAGAGUCUAUGAUGUUUAGAGAAACCAUUUUAAGUCUUGUAUUUUCCUACCUAGACAACUCUAUAAAUGUCAUAAGUCUUUUUGUUAUAGACGCUAUGAGUUGAUUUUAUCACUAUGACUAGAAAAACUCAUUGGAUUAGUAUUGAAUGAUCAACUUCAAUGAUGUUGUUUGAACUAUAUGUAAUCGAUGAUGUCCUCUAUUAAUGCAAUCUGAAAUAUGCUUAUAAGGUAUACCUUGUGCUUAAUGAUUUUCAAUGCCUGAUAAACUCUGAAUUGAUUUUAAUUUAUAGUUCACAAUCAACACUUGUUUUUGUAACACGAACUAGGUAGUGUUCUUUAAUCAAUUUAUCUAGACAUAAGGUAUUAAUUAGUAUGGUCGGUAGUUUAACUGUCAAUGAAUCUUUUGAUAAAAUUAGUUUCACCUAAGAAAUUAGGGUUCUAUUUUAGAUAAAUGGGACGUCGAGGCAAGAAAUUGGUCGUGGUCUAUUUCUUUAAACUGUUGUGAACAUAGAAAUCAAAUUGUUAUUGUCUAGGAACUAGUAUUAUCAAAGAAAAUCUUUCUAUAAUUUAAUUUGCGAAACCAAAUCUUACGAAAACUCCCCCCAAUUUAACUUUUUAAUAAGUAUUGUUUAAUUGUCAAGUAUAAACAAUAAUAUUUGUGGAGAGGGAUCUUUAUAAACACUAUUACUUGAUCUGCCAAAGAGUCCAUCAAGCUUUUGGCGCCAUUGUUAGGGAAUCGUUGAUGAUCUCAACAAGGUAGCUACGCUCUACUUACAUGAUUUGUUUUUUUUUGUAAUUUAUUAUAAAAACAUAAAAAUAUUUACUUUUGGCUCUUUAAUCUUAGUGUGUGUUGUGCUAAAUAAAUAUUCUUGAGUGUUGUUAUGCGAGGUGGAAGCUCAGGUACCUUGUUAUUUGAUUCUGAGGUUGAGAAGAUUACAAGAGAAAACCAGAAAGAUUCUUUUUCUAUCUCAGUACCCCUCAAAUAAUCUAAAAAUACUAUCAGAGGGAGAACAUAGGCAUGGUUAGAGAUGGUUUAGCAAAGGAAACUCAAGUUUGAGUUUUCCCCCCAAAAUCCUAAAAUACUCUUUUUUUCCUUAUUCUUUUUUUUCUUCCAGAAUUAAUGAACGAUGGUGUGCAAGUCCUAUAUUUCACCACUUAUAUGUCACGCAGGUUCUAUUGUAACUUCUUUCAUUUAUUACUUUCGUUGUUCUUUUGCUUGAUCUAUUCUUUUUUCCAUGUCUAUUCUCUGUUCCGAUUUGUUUUGAUUUUGUGAUCGAUAUUAUCUCUACUGUUACUUCUUUCGGUUAUUGUAUCCCUUGGUGUUUGAUUAUGUUUCACAUUGAUAAACUUAAUAGUGUUUUUACUUUUUACUUGUUGAAGAGCUUACAUUUGUGUCUAUAGAGUUCUAUUGGAAGUAAAUUGUUUAUUUUUAUGUUUUCUUAUAUUUUUGUUUGUUUUUGUAUUCAACUUGGCUAUUGUAAUCACACCUCUGUUUCCGGUAGCUGAAUUAUUAUUGUCUAAAUUUGAUCAAAGGCAACCUAGCAAUUGAAUAAUCGAGCCUUGUCGGAAAGUGUCAUUGUCACCACUCAAUGGAUGAGAAACCAACAAAAAAGCCGGAUUAUUAGAAGAAUGAAUGUGAAAGAAUUGUUACCAAUCAUGGAAGUCAUGGGAGGUACAUAAAGUUCAACAAGAUCACAAAAGAAUAGCGUGAGAAGGAGAAAAAAGUUGUGCGAGAAAUCAGAGAGAAUUGAGGAAAAACUCAGUUGAUACCAUAUUUGAACCAUAUGAGACAAUUGAUUCCUGAAAUAAAAACAUUAAGGCUGCAUUUGAUACAAGAGGACUAGAAUGUUACAAGGUACAAACAGACACAAUAAUUCUUAUUGAUGUAAAGUAAAACAUUAACAAUAAAACAAACAUACAUAAUAACAUGAUCGUAAGUAGGAAGUGAGGGAAUGGAAUUCCUUCACAUCUGUUAUUCAAAGCAGCAACACAACAACCAUGAUCCACUUUAGAUGGAGAUACUAUUAGGAAUGCCUCGGCAAGUCAAUCCUUCCUCACUAGAAGGAUAAAGUAGAGUAUAUGGCAUCUUCACUGGUCCGUACCGAUUUCUCAAUGUCUCAUCAUUGUUCCUUUGAGUGAGUUUCUGUUCAAUUUCAGCCAACUUCUUUCCAAACCUCUUGAAGGCUUCUUUUGGUUGUGAAUCUGAAGUCCAAUUGUCACCUUCAAUUCUAUCUCCAAGGUAUUGCUCAUCAGAAGCAUGCCUUGACAAGACCUCUAUAAUGGUCAAGUCAGUAAGUGUAUCAUUCUUUGGUGUGAUUGUCCUCAAAUAAGACUUCUGGUAGUCCUUAGCAAGCUCAUCAUACUCAGGUGAUCCUUUCUCAGGCAUGAAUCUUCUACUCUUUGUUGGCCGGUUAAGGAUAUAUCCUCCAUAUGGAUAUUGUCCGAAAUUAACAGCUGCAUGAAGUGCUGAAGCAAUCCAUAUAAGGAUGGUGGAAGCUUCGAUCAACUCUUCACGGGUUUGCAUCUUAAACCACCAUGUGGCAUUCUUCAGGUCACCAUGACCAACCUCUACAAGUUCCUUCCAGAAUGCUUGGAGUUCAGCAUCUUGUGCAAUGGCAGCAUCAGACUUGUAAUAGAAAUUCACAUAUUCACCAACCCAUGACUUAAUGGCAGCCCAUAUUUCUAGUCCAUCAGAAGCAUAAGGAUAAUCCUCUAUCAGAAGGCGGAGACCGGUAGGAGAGGCUGGAUCCUCAACAGCUACUCCUCUAAAUAACAAGCAAGGAAGAAAUAUUAACAUACAAAAAAUAUGUUCUAUGGAGUUAUUAUUAAUUAAAGUGAUUUUAAUGAUCAUUUUACAACUGUUUUAGAGGAGAUUUAAGCCCGUAUAACAGAAAUUAUUAGUUAGAGUUUGUUGAUAAAAAAUUGACAGACCAAAGAUGUAAGGUUACCUUUUGAUUAGAUCGUUAGGUAGUCCUUGCUCAAUGAAAUUCCAAUCCUUGUAAACAACAGCAGACAUUUCCAAAGCAUAAUUUCCCCACAAGAAGGUUGAUUCUAUAAUACCCUCUGCAUUGACCAAGACAUUUCGUGCAAGUGCAUUUAUGUUCAUUGUGUCACGGUAGUGAGGAAGUAAAAGUUUAUGAAUAGGGUGAACCACACUAAGAUGCCUGUUUGUUGCUAUGAUGAAUGGCUCAACAACAGCGUGGGUGUUCAACCUGUCACACAUGUCGAUAUUCAUGAAUUAAUCAUAGAUAGGUUAAUUAUGUUUGAUUGUGUAUACGUGAUUAAUGAGAUUCAUACCAAUGGCUGACAAGUUGAUGAUAGCAGGAGUCAUUUACAACAACAAAAGCCUUGGCAAGGAGCCAAAUUGAAGCUUCAACACCUUCACUUGCGGGCAAGUAAACAUUGCUAACAGGACCAAAACUAUCACCUUGAGGGUGUGGCCUGCUUAGUUCAAUGGCCAGUGGCUUCAAAGUUCCAUCAUCUUGCAAGAAAAGUAUGGUUCUGGUAGCAUAGGCCUUUGUCUCGGUUGCAUUUAUUUUCCUCAAAUAUGGAAAGAGUGGGUCGUGGUGAUCAAGUAUGUACAAUCUAUUGUCUUGGAUAGCCUGUAUGACAAAAUAAAAUUUAGCUACUGUGGUUUACUUGAAUAAAAAAAAUUCAAUCAUGGAGAAAAAUAUUAAUCAAACUAAGUCCAUGAGGUGUCAACCCAGUGGUUAAAGUCGACCUUAUAACCUCAAGGGAUAGAUUUCAAAUUUUCUCCCGGACGAAAUUCACGAACGCCACUUUGGAAAAAAAUAGAACUGAUCAAAUAUGUCAUUACCUGUUCUACGGUGACCCCACCCAUGUUUGGCUCCAAGUUUUCUUUGGUUAUGGUGCUGGUAUUAUCACCAAAUUUUUGGCUAUCUAGCUUGCUCUUUGGUGGAAACUCCUGUAUUAAAUUUAGCAAGCAAUAAUGUCACCAAUUACAAAAAUAACAUAAUGUUUACAAAAUAGUCUUAGUUUUAUUUUUUUAAUUUCUUAACAAAGUUAAACUAUUAGCUUUACCGAAAGUUUUUUGAUGAUGUGUGGGUUCACCCCAGCAAUCAUCUCCCUUGCAAAUUCCUCAUCAGUCUGCCAUGCAGAAUGGUCCACUGUUCAUAUUAAGAAAUUUUCAAAAGAUCCAUUAGAUUUCUUUAUAUGAUUUUGUAUAAAUAUAUUACUGCAAGGACUAGGUAUUAUGAUUAAUAUAUACCUUGAAUCACUUUUGGUGGUGGAAACUUAAGUGCUUGUUCACCAUCAGAUCGGAAAAGUUCCUUGAACAAUGGUAUUGGACUAAUCUGGCUUAGUACAUCAGUAGGAAGCUUAAUUCCACCCUCGUAGAGAGAGCGCACAUCUUGAAAGGUGUUAAACUCAGGGUUAUUGAGUUGUAAUGUAACUACAGAUCUCAGUUGAGGUAUGACAUUUUGAGAUGCUGAUUUGAGUAUGUAAACAAGAAAGUCUGAUGACUUUGUGUGUCCAAAAGAUUCAUCUCUUGGAAGGUAAACAGUGGGACUUCGAGUCUCACUCUUAGGAUCUGUUCAAAUAUAUAAUAACAAUAUAUGUUUUAGAAACAAUACCAAAAUCUUUAGAAUCAUAAGCAGGGUAAACAUUUGGAUCAACCAAAAAAACACAUGUUUAGUCCAAAAUCUGACAGAAGUGUUUGUGGCCUAACCUGUUUUAGUUUUUCUUCUGCCAGUUCUUCCCCUUCGAGGGUAAGGGAAAUCGCUUGAUCCCCCAAGAAUUUGACGCGCCAAUUGAGGUUUCGAGUCAGGCUCACCCAAAUCAUUGUAGACAUCGUAAUCAUAUAUUCUUUCCCAUUCCUUGCGCUCUCCAGUUCCAUCUCCUCUUAAAGUCUUCAAUUCUUCUUGUCUGUAGUACACUAAUGGAGCCGGUGUUUCACUUGGAAGGUAUGUCUACAUAAAUUUAAUCAUUCAAAAUAUCAAGUUUUAGGAAAUAGGCUUAAUAUUCAGCAAGCUAUAUAGUUAUUAUGAUAAAGUGGAUUUGUGAUUUGAGACAUCAGAAAGAGAUUGGGAGUUGCAAGUUCUCAACUCCCUCUACUCGCAUUUCUAAAAACUAAUUACUAAUAUUUGUCGUUAUAAUAGAAAUAACAAGCUACAUGUGUAAUAGAAUUUUUAUUCUUACCUUGUUGGCAAAGAAGAUGCGGUCGGUUUUGUACUUUUUAGAAUUGUAAAUCCAUGAGUUGCAGACAAAGUGGAUGGAUCCAUGGUUUGGAACAUCUUCAAGUGUCAAACUCACAAGGAAGAAUUCACCUUGCAUAAAAUUAUCGAUGUAAAAAGCUCCGGGAAUUCCCAUGUUACUGUCCCAUUCAAAAUGAAUACUGAAAGCAUUUUGUUUGUCUCCCAAUGUUGGUAUGGAGGUAAGAAGACCUUCCAGAAAUGUUUCCUUUCCCACUUUUCCUUUUCCAGCAGCUAUAUUAAAAAUGUCAAAUAUUAUUAGUUUCUCAAUUUCACUAAUCCAUGAUUUUCAAAGUUUAAUUUUAUUCUUUUACAGAUCCAUUUUUCUUUUUACAUGAUCAUCAUCCAUCUUGCCUGAGUUAUAUCGAAGGGAAAUAAUUUCAAUAUUUUAGUGGUAAUUGAUUGUACCUGAUCAUUUAUAACCAAUAUUCUACAUCAAAAUCUCCAUUGCACAUUUUUAAUUUAAUAAAAAAAACAAAAGGGAAAAUAAGGUAAAUCUUAAUGGAUUGAUGUAUCAAAAACUCUUCUUGAAUAAUAGGCUGGCUUGGUGGUGUGGUGGAAGAGUUAUGGAGUAAUUAAUGCAGUCUGAGUUCAAUUCUUACAUCUAGCAAAAACUAACAACCGACAUAAUACUCAUUCGAUAUUAUUUAUAAGAAAUAAUGAAUUUUUUGAUUUAUUGAAUAAUUAAUGUAUAUGAUAUAUAUUCUAGAUCGAAUACAUAAAUUAUUCAAUGAAUCUAAAAAAUUAAUUAUUUCUUAUAAAUAGGAUUGGAUGAAGUAAUAUUUAUUGCUUAAAAAAAUAAAACUCCUCAAUAUUUUGUUGUUAAAUCAGAGAUAUCCUCCACGUGCAAAUGUCUGUCACUUAUGUUAUGUCACACAAUGUUGGUAAAAGAGUCUAAGUAAAGAGAUCAUAGAAGUAUGAAAAGAAGCAAUUUUAAAUAGAAAAAGAUAGUAGAAUUUACAAUUUUAAAAAUCUAAUAAGACAGAAGUUCAAAUAUAAAGUAUAUAGAUGGGGAUGUCAAAUUUUAAAUAGCUUAUGGUACAAGAUUAAUUUAAAAAAUUUAAGUGAGCAUGUGCACCCAUCACGUAGAUCCAUACAUACCAAAUGACAAAGAUAAAGUCCAAAACAGUUGCCAAACGCCAAAUAUCACACUUAUUUGCAUUAUAUAUACUUCUUUUUUUACAAAACCAUUAGAUAUACUCCCUUUAAUAUACAUUGGAUAUAAGUUUUUAUAUAGUCAUUUUUUAUUCCAAUAGUACUAUUUUUUCCAUAUCAUUUUAUUACUUAAUCAAAUGUCCAAAUUAUUUUAAAUAGUUACUUAAAUAAUUUCAUAAUUUCUUUAUUUUAAUUAAGAAGAGACAACGAUGAAAUUUUUGUCUGUCAAGUAAGGAUAUAGUUUUGCAGUUAAUAAAAGAAUAUAAACACAAUUUUUUUCUUUUCAUAAAUUUCAUCAAAGAAGGUAAUCAAUCUUAUUCAGAAUCCGUCGAUCAGACACUAAAUGUGAUACCUCUCUCAAUCAAGAUUCUAAAAUCAUUCUCGUCCGUUAGAUCCAAUUACUUCCAUUGGUGUACACAUAAUUUAAAUAAGUUAUAUCAAUCAAUUAAUUAAAAUGCCUAUUUCUUGUAUGAAUUAAACAUAGUGAGAAAGGUCCUCGUGAACUAGCUCAAUUGAUAGAGACAUAUAAUAUAAUAUAUGCAGGGGUUGAAGUCCGAACCCUAAACAUCCGACUUCUCCAUAUUUAAAAUGUGUGAGCUCCCGUCACUGGGUUAAUUGACAAAAAGAAAAAUAGAGUGAGAAAGAGAAAUGAGUUAUUACCAUCAGCACUUGUAGCACUAAUCAACCUGAGAGCUAUAGAACGUCCCAAGAAGGAAGUGGCAGUAUCAAGUAUAUUGCCAGCAACAUCACCAACAAUACCAAAGGCACCACCAAUGAUACCAGUAGGGCUUUUAGCAGCAGUGAGGGCGUUGAUAUCCAAAGUAUUCUUUUGCAUCAACACCACAGUUCCCUUCAACUUUUGGCCUCUAUCAAAGAGACCUGUUACACCAGAAAACAUCUUUGAAUAUGCUUUAAAUGUAUUACACUAUAUAUGGUAAAUGAAAGAAAGGCUUGUGUCUUGUAACCAUAGGGGUGGUUAGUAUUUAUAGUAGUUGAUGAGAUUAGGAUCACAAUGUUAUAGUUCAAAUGAGGUGAUAUUUUUAUUCAACUACUCAUUUACAACAUGGUGGAAUGCAAUUGGUCACGUCUUAUGCUAAUUUUUUAUUAUGAGUGAUUAUCUCGUGGUAUAUAAAAUAAUAAUAUAUCCGAUUGCAAAAUUAUUUUGGUAGUUGUUAUAUGUGCCAGCCUUGGCAUUAUGUUCAAUAAUAAUGACUCUGUUUGCUCUAUUGUUAAUUAUUACUACUAUCUUACGUGUCUGCAUUGGUUUUCUCGAGUUUUCUCAUAUUUUUUAAAGUGGGAAAAUCUCUACCCUUAAAAUUCAUUUCUUUCUUAUUUUAAUUUCAAAAUCUCUCCUCUUUUUUUUUUUUUUUUUUUUUUCUUUUUCUUUUUCUUUCUCUCAUACUAUCAAAUCAAGAUUAGGAUUGGACUUGAGAUACAUUUGCUUAGUCACAAACAUAAAAAUGAGUCAUUUAACACACACAAUGUAAUAAAAAAAAUUGAUUUGGUGUUGUGGUCUAAUUUAACACUUACUAUAUAAGUAUUUCUCCAUCCAAAGAUGGAUCCAAAAAUCUAUUAGCAAUUUUAGUUCACGGCCUAAUUUAUUCUCUUGUUUGGGAGUCUUUUGUAACAAUUUUUGUUUUUUUAUUUUGGGUUGACGGCAAGACCUUUGUCUUUUGAUGUAACUAUACUCUUUUUCCUUGUUCUUUUGGCACUUUCUGUGCUGGAAUAGCAGAUAUUUUUCAAAUAUAAGCAAUCAACGUUUGUUCUAGGGCGCUCUAUAUAUGGAUAAUGUUAUCAGCCACGUUUUUGACAUUUGCAUCAAUUUUUUUCUUUAUAAAUGAUGAAUAAGACAUGUAUUACUAAUGAUGGUUGAUAUUCCAGCUAUCAUGGAAUCCAAGUCGCCAUAGUACAAUGUUUUUAAAAUCCCAGCUAUGUUGGCAACCCAAAACAUCGUGUGUCAAAUGCGCCACAUCUUAUAUAUUAUUAAUAAUAAAAAAUACAAAAACGAAAAAAGUUGAGUUAAACUCAACAAAGCUAAUUAAAAUGAUAGGUAUGCAUACCAAACCUAUCUAAAAAAACCACUGAUAAUAAAACUAGGACAUAUAUACCACCAUUGAAAAUCUCCAAUUAGUUUACAAAUAUCAACGAAAAAACUUCUCCUUUUCCUCUUGUGACAUAGAUGAUCUCCAGUAGGUUUCUGCGUUUUUCCUCUUCAGUUUCGUGUUUUGCUGCUUGCGUUGGGGGUGUGAAAAUUAAACACUGAUGACUUGUGAAAAAAAGAAGCAUAAAGGGCUGCUGGACUAAAGUCUGAUAAUUGUUGGUCCCUCUAUUAUUUUUGUUAUAUACACCCCUCUAUAAACGAUUAUUGUUAUAUACACCCUCGUAUAAAAAAAUUAGGUCCCUAAAGGCAUGGGCCCUAGGCUGCCGCACCCCAUCCUAUAUCUAUGGCUGGCCCUGAAUGUUAUCGUUGUAAUAGAAGUGGUUUAAUAUAUAAAAUGAAAGACAUAAGGUAAAUAGGGUAAUGUUGCAUUAAAAAUGGAUGUUGGUAAGGCAUGUGGCAUUGAUAGGUCAUUUGAAAGAAAUUUUGAUGAAGAUGAGGUUAUGUCAGUAGUGAAUGAACUAGAUAAUGAUGUGUAUUAAAAUGGUGGAUUAUUCCAUUAUUGUUAACAAUGAAAUCACAUGACCAAUCAUACUCGGACGAGGCCUUCAUCGGAGAGAUUCUUUGUCUCAUUGUUUAUUCUGUGUGCAGAAGGCCUAUGUGCUCUUAUUAAGUAUGUCGAGGCUAGUGGAGAGCUUCAUGGGGUCAAAAUUUGUCGAAACACUUUGAUUAUUACUCGAAUUUUAUUUGCAGAUGACUACUUUCUAUUUUUCAGGGAAGGUGAAGCGCCGAGACUCAAAAUAUGAAGCAAAUUUUGAGGUUGUACAGAGCAACGUCUGGAUAUUACAGCUUAAAUGCCCAACAAUCCCUUCAAAAUGCUUUUACAACAACCUUAGGGGGGUCAGGCGGUGUUAUGCACAAUGAAGUACAUCGGACUACCCUCUAUGAUUGGUAGAAGAAGGAAUGUUACGUUCAGCUUUCUCAAAGAUAUGACUGGAGCAACAAGUAUUUGUGAAAGGAAGAUAUAAUGAUAAAAACAUGUACUGCAAGCAAUACCAUCUUAUGGAAUUAGAAUUUUCUUACUUUCUACCAUGUUCUUUGAUGCCAACGAAAAGAUUAUUAACACGUACGUACUGGUGGGGUCAUGGUGGUUCCACAAUUAGAGGUAUUGACUGGUUAUCAAGGGACAUGCUUGUUGUCUACAAAUUUUUUGGAGGUUUGGGGUUUAAAUACUUGACGUCAUUCAACUAAGCAAUGUUAGGAAAACAAGAUCGGAAAUUCCACACACACUUGGACUGUUUGGUAUCAAGACUGUUCAAGGCGCUCUAUUUUCCUCAUGGAAGCUAUCUAGACCGAAAGUGAUGACAGAGCACUAUAUGACAUUUUGGGCUAUGUUUUUAGUACUUUUAUUUGCAUUUGAAGACAUAUAAGUUGAGAGAUAGAGGAGUUGUUAAUGGUUUGGGAAACAUAUUGUAUUGUUUUCAAUCGAGCCGUUGUUCUUGAUGCUUGACAGUUUAAGGAACCUCUAGGGUAUGUUUUUUAAACAUCGUUGUUCCUUGAUUGAGGAACCUCUAGAUAUUUCAUGAAGUGUAAUUCCUUUAGAUGACAAUUUAAGAGUCACACGGGAUGUUGCAGUCAAAAGAUGUGAUCAUGGCUUUCAUAAUUGAGUUAUGGAUAAAACGACAUCUGUAGGAAUAUUCUCUCUAUAGUAAACCACCGUUUAUGUAAUUUUUAGGUUUUAAUUAAUAGGUACUUUGCAUUAAUCCAACAAAGAGGGAAGAGGGAAGAGGGGAUUCAAGGAUUCCCUAAUCACCGUUAUACAUCUAAAUCACACAAACAUAAUCUUUCUUUGGAUAGGGAAAUUUAACCAUGCAAAUCUUUUUUUCAUCUCUUUUCUAUUUUCUUUCUAAUAAGUUUUGCUAAUUACCGAAAAACUUGCUACUUUAUUAAUUGUUAUGAUUUGGUGCACUUGCCAAUUUCGUCCUUCAGAAAGCUUGGACAUAAAUCAAAGCUUUAGUUGGAGAAGAAUAUUUACCGCUAAGAGAGUAGUACAAAAAGUUGCUCGGUGGAAGAUCAGAUCGGGUACAAAGUUUCAAUUUUUUAUGCUUUGUGGGUAAAAGAUGGGACAAGUAUUCUAGGAGAUGGUCAACCUCUCAAGGUAAUUCAACAGGCUAAAGUGCACAAUCUCGUUGAUCAAGAAUUUCCCGUAUAGAACAAUCAUAUUGUAAACCAGUGUUUUGAUCAACUUAUAAAUGAGCUCAUUCUGAGUACUCCUUUAAUUGAGUCUGUUAAAGAAAGAUAAAUUAAUUUUUAAAUCAAAGAAAAAUGAACAUUACUCGGUAAAAAUUGUGUACAAGAUUUAUACAUAAAAUAGUGCAGGCAACUCAUAUUUAUGUCAGUAAGGUCAUUGGCUGGAAUUUAGAAGUUAAAGGUGCAUCCCAAAGUGAAGGAUUUCAUUUGGCUGAUUUAUCAAGGUUGCUUACCGACGCGUGUAAGGCUGAAAGAUCGAAGUCUCCAUUGUCUGUCUAUUUGUAUGAUGUGCACCGGUAACUAUGGGGAUGCAAUGCAUAUAUUGUUUGAUUCUCCGUAAAUAGGAUAUGUAUAUAUUUUUCUCAAGUGCAUUAAUUUUAUCAUUCAUAGCUCCAGCCCAGUUUAUAUUUUUAAAUGUUUCUUCAAUAGAUGAUUUGAUUCUCACAUAAUCAACGGCAACAAUAAAACUUUGAUUGUGUGGAAAGUUGUUUAGUGGAGACAUAUUGAGAAAUAUGUAUGAUAUCUAUAUAUAGAGGGACAGAUCGAUAACAUUUGCAAUCAUCUACAACAGGCCAUGUUACCCAAGAACAAUCAUCAAUAAAAGAAACAAACCACCUUGCCCCAUAAAUAUUAGAAACAACAAGAAAUAUUAGAAACAGGGGCCGAUCGGCAGACAUCAAAAUGAAUAAGAUCAAAUGGUUCAACACUUUUACGAAGAUUCAACGAAAAAAGUGGUAUGUGUACGCUUAUAAAAUGGAUAUAUAUAUCACAUUUAAAAGACUAAAUCGAUUGCAUUAAAAAACAAAGAUGGAAACAUAAACUUCAUUAGUUGAAAAUGAGGAUGACAAAGACGUUUGUGCUGAAGCCAAAUUUGAGAGGCAGAAUAAGACUCUGACUAAGACUGAAGUGCAGAAGACAACACCUUCUGAUCAAUUCGUGCAUCAUACAAAUAAUAUAGCCCUCCUUGUUCCUAAGCAACUCCAAUCGUCUUUCCCAUUACAAGAUCCUCGAAAGCACAAUGUGAAUCAAAAAAUAUUACUGCACAAAUAUUAUCCUUUAUAAGCUUACGAACAUAGAUAAGGUUAUUCCAAAGACAAGGAACAUGAAGCAUAUCUUUCAACUUAAAAGGUUCAAGGUUAAUUUCUCCACAACCAUCUACACGAGUAUGAGAACCAUAUGCAGCCGCAAAAAAGAAUGUCAUAUGAAGAAAUUUACUUCAAAAAGGCCAAGAACCAAUGUCAUAUGAUCAAUAGCACUAUAGUCAAUAAUAUAAUCAACAUUUCAAGCAAAAACCACAUAUAACUAUUUUCAGUCACAUUGGCUGAUAACUACAAAAGAAUCUCCUCAAAAGAACAACAAAAAGAAGAGGCUUCAAAUAACAAAAAAUAGGCAACAAGGUAAAAACCGUAAGUCGCAACAACGUAAAAUCACCAAAUAAAAGUCAAACUGAAUCACAAAGGGUCCUCAAAGAUGCUGGUAGUCACAAACAAGCACAAAACAACCGCUAUCAAUCAGUUAGUGUCAAGAGUACCCACGUAAAAUAGUAUCUUGGUCUUGGAUCAAGAUUUUGACCCCUUAAACGAACCAAUUAUGUGAAGACUAUAAUUUCUAGGAAUAAAUGGUGUCGAAUGGUGGUUCACAAGGUGGCAUGUGCAUCGCACUUGAUGGAGCUUCACUUUAGAUUGGGCCUCUGCUCUCAACUUCUCAAGUUCUUCUUCAAAAAGUAUUUGAGAACAAAUUUUUAUAGCCCUUUCGUUUAAAAAAUCUUUUUAGUUUUGCCAUAUUAGUUGAUGUAUGAUUCUUUAACUGUAUUUACAUUGGAAAAACAAUUGGCAGUGGAAAUAAAAUCAUUAUGAUCUAUUAUUGCUUUUUCAAUGUUAUCAUUUUUUUGUCAUGCUAUAUUGCAUAUUUGCAUUGAGAGCUUUUUUGUCAUGAAAUAAAAUAUGAAGUUUGCAUUUUAUAUACAAAGUAAAUCACACAACAAAAUAGAAACAUAGUAACUUUUAUUGAUGAAAUACAUUAUAACAAUCAAACAUGAUAGUUUUUAUUGAUAAAACACAUUACAGAAUUAAAAACAAACGUACAUAAUAACAUAACAUGACGAUAUACAUAGGGGGCGAGGGAAUUGGAUUCCUCCUCCUCUUUUAUUAAUAGCGACAACGCAACAACCACGACGUUUUUUAGAUAGAGACACUGUUGGGAAUGCCUCUGCAAGUCAAUCCUUCCUCACUAGAAGGAUAAAGCAGAGUGUAAGGCAUCUUCACUGGUCCGUUACGAUUCCUCAGUGUCUCAUCAUUGUUCCUUUGAAUGAGUUUUUGCUCAAUUUCAGCCAACUUCUUUCCAAACCUCUUAAAGGACUCUUUUGGCUGUGAAUCAGAAGUCCAGAGAUCACCUUCAAUUCUCUCUCCAAGGUAUUGCUCAUCAGAAGCAUGCCUUGACAAGACUUCUAUAAUGGUCAAGUCAGUAAGAGUAUCAUUCUUGGGUGUUAUUGUCCUCAGAUAAGACUUCUGGUAGUCCUUAGCAAGCUCAUCAUACUCAGGGGAUCCCUGCUCAGGCAUGAAUCUUCUACUUUUAGUUGGUCGGUUAACGAUAUAUCCUCCAUACGGAUAUUGUCCAAAAUUAACUGCUGCAUGAAGUGCUGAAGC